Molecule: ribosomal RNA, 717 nt
Filed under: Euxesta notata
Lineage: Eukaryota; Metazoa; Arthropoda; Insecta; Diptera; Ulidiidae
Description: partial 12S ribosomal RNA
Source: RNAcentral
AUGCAAGUUUUUGCGUGGAGUUUUAUUUACUUAAAUAGUGGAUAAAUUUUAUUGUAGCCGCAGUAAUUAAUAUUAUUAAUCAAGGGAACUUGGAGAUAGUAAUUUUAUAGAGUAUUGGCUAAAUUUGUGCCAGCAGCCGCGGUUAUACUAAUAAUGCAAAUGAAUCUUUUUCGGCAUAAGUUAAAUUUAAUAAUUAAAAUAAAGGUAGAUUUAUUAAGUGAAAUUUUAAAUCUAUAAAAUUUUUGUUAAUGAGUUGUUGAUGCUUGUAAAUUUUAAUUAUAAACUANGAUUAGAUACCCUAUUAUUUAAAAUGUAAUUUUAUUGCUAAGGUAGUAGUAGUUAUGUUCUUGAAACUUAAAAAAUUUGGCGGUAUUUUAGUCUAUUCAGAGGAACCUGUUCUAUAAUCGAUAAUCCACGUUGGACCUUACUUGAGUUGUUUUUCAGUUUAUAUACCGUCGUUAUCAGAAAUUUUUAUUAGAAUAAUAAUUUUCUAGCUUUUUUAUGUGAAUUUAUAUCAGAUCAAGGUGUAGCUAAUGCUUAAGAAGAAAUGGGUUACAAUAAAUUUAUUUAGAUGGAGUUAAAUUUGAAAUGUUUAAUGAAAGUGGAUUUGAUAGUAAAAUUAUAAAGAUUGUUAAUUUGAUUUUAGCUCUAAAAUAUGCACACAUCGCCCGUCGCUCUUGCUAUUAAGGUAAGAUAAGUCGUAACAUAGUAGAUGUA